CUCCUGCCUCAGCCUCCGGAGUAGCUGGGACUACAGGCGCCCGCCACCACGCCUGGCCAAUUUUUUUGUAUUUUUUUAGUAGAGACGGGGUUUCACCGUGUUAGCCAGGAUAGUCUUGAUCUUCUGACCUCGUGAGCCGCCUGUCUCAGCCUCCCAAAGGGCUGGGAUUACAGGCGUGAGCCACCGCGCCCGGCCGAUUUACCACUCUUGAUGUUCACCACCUGGCUGAGUCUGGAAUCAUUUCUUCAUAAUGACAUUUUCUCCUUUUAUUGGAGAAUGUUAGAAACCAAGAUCAAGAGCUUGAUGUGCUUGUUGAUACUGGAGUGUCAUUGAUUCUUGGCCCUGUCAACUGACCAGAUCAAGGAACUACAUGUGUAUAAGCUAAGGCCUGCCUCUCCCACACAAUUUUUUGAUGACCUUCACUUGGAAUGGCCAGAACCAGCUAAUGCAAACCCUGCUGAACCUACAGUAGAAGUUGCUCCUCUCCUCCCCGGCCUCAGUCUCCACCCACUCACAAAAGAAGGCUUUCCAGUCUCCAUUCUAGGACUUAGCCUUAUAACACAUAUUACAAGUAAAGUUCCCACUUGCCUCCAGCAGAAAAGUCACAUCAUGUAUCACAUCUUCUUGCACAUGACAGGAUUUUUGUCGUGACUUUCCUAAAUUCUCACUGUGCCAAGCAAGCAAGAAAGUGCCCACAGGAGUGGGAGGGAAAAGACACAUGGGAUGGCAGCAAGGAAACCUGCCUAGAGGAGCCAGCCAUCCCGUCUGUCCCCUCACUUCCUUCCAGAGAGAACGUCUUUCCUUGACAGCGCCUGCCUCCUGUCAUUUCAUCCCAACACUUUGCCCAGCCCGGGAAAUCUGGAUUUUCUUUUUAAAGAAAGAUGUCUAGAGAGAAAAAUAGAAAAUGAACAGCCAAUAGAAAGUGCAACAGAGCUUGUUGAUUUGGUUCUGUCAGAUGCCCCAAGUGUUCGUGAAGCAGCUAUACUAAGUGACAUUCAAACGUUGGUAAUGAGGAGACAUCUGCAUAUACACUGGUUUUGAAACAUCAAGCACUGGAGAAGUUAUGAGCUGUCAAUCACUUUAGCUGUCCUCCACCCUGUGUUUAUUCAGAAAUAAUUUUCAAGGCUGCAGAAAGUGUUGUUACUAACUGAUGAGCAAGUUUGAACACUGAAAAUGAAGAAUGAUUGAUGUUCUUUUAGGUAAGCUGGAAAACUCUCCAUCCACUAGAGGCAGCCACAGCUCGGGAUGCUGAUAAAGUUCUGACACAGGGAGUGAGUGAUGAGUGGUGUGUAAAAGUUCUGACACAGGGAGUGAGUGAUGAGUGGUGUGUAACGUGCUGAAAACAGGAAGCUCUGACAACAAUGUGAAGAGGAACCUUCUGAACACAAAUUCUAUGGCUCCAAAUAAGCAAGUUAAUAGUCCUGAUAUCUUGACUUGAUCUACAGAAGAAACCCCACUCAGGAUAACUUUUACUUUUCUGGUGGAAGAGACAAUAAGAAUAAAGACUCACUAAACGGUAAUAAAAUCCUCUUUGACUUACUAAUUGGUUGGUAAUUUUGAAAUUUUCUAAUCUGAAUGUUUAACUCCAAAUAGUUUUCAUCCUGUCAUAUGUUACAGUAUUAACAGUUAUAGAAAAAGAACAGGAAUUAUUAGAAACAUUAAAACUAUUCAAAUCUAGGAAAUGUGGAUCUUAGGAUUUGUGUCAGGAAACCAACAACCUUAGGAUGUGCCCCACAGUUGGCUUUCCUGAACCGUGAUCCCAGAAUGCAAGAAGUCAACCCAAUACAAAUCCAUGCUUUCUGACAAUGGCAGAAAAUUUUUUGGCCAUUGUCCAUUGACUGACUCACAAGCUGUGACAAUGUCCCACCAUUACACUCCACCGACUCCCCCGCAAGGCUGUCACCUGUCUUUACCUGCAGCAGCUGCAUAUAUGCACACAUUUAAUAACACUUAGUGGGGGCAUGUUCUGUUCUAGAAACGGUGCCUGCUCCAAAGAUACGGUGGUGAACAAAAUAAAAAUGCUCCCUGUCUCUAUGGAACUCAGAGUCUAGCAGAAGACAAAGACACAAUGUGAAAUACACAUUUCAAUAAGUGCUAUGAAAGAUAGGUUGUACAGUGAUAUGAAAGGGAAUAACAAAGGGAUGCAAAAGAGUUAUGAAAGGCCUCUCUGAGGAAGUCAUGUUUAAGCUGAAAGGUGAAGGUUGCCUAUAAGAAGGUCAGGCAAAAGACAGGGUGUGUGAGUGGGGAAACAUUCUAGGCAGAGGUAACAGCAUAUGCAAGACCCCAUGGAAGAUUAGAAAAAGGAAACAGCACCAAGAUAUGACCUAUUUUCCUUAGAUGACUGAGGGAAUUCAAAUUCAAUGAAUACCUUCUUUAUCUUAAAAGCUAAAGCCUUUACAUUUAUUAUAAAUAGGGAUUUCUAUAAAUCCUGUCAACUCCCACUUAUCCUGUAUUCUCAAUCCUGUAUUUAUUCACCAACAUCUUUGAGCUGUUUUCUCUGGCCUUAUCCUUAUUCUUUCUAAGGUAUAUCUAUCUUUUUUAGCAACCCCGAUAAUUAGAUAGGAUAAUCUGUUGAGAUAUUAAUUUGUGAUUUGUAUUUCUGAUUUGUGCUAUAGAAGACUUGAAGGAUUAGAAGGGACUUUCCUCCUACUUCCUUCACUGGAAAGACAACCAGGCCUUUAUCUUCUAAGAUCUUUUUUCUAUUUUCAAGCAAUUAACAGUUUAUUUUUGUAUCAGAACAUCCUGUCCCAUCCCUCAAGAUCUGUUGCGCAAAAUGUAGGCCCAUCGGGAGGAAGAAAGUUGAGGAGAGGGGUGAUUUGCCUUGCUGGCAACUUAUUGACAUGUCUUUGCCAUGCUCCUACUCAGGAAAUUAGAUCCCAUGACCUAUAAAAUUCAGUCAAAACUGCAGCUAAACUCACACCCUCUGCUAUAUUGGACCUGAAGUCUCUGCAGCCAUUCUCCUCUAUUGCCACAUUCAUCCCCCGUACCAAGUCGUACCCCAUCAAUUCUGCCUGUCCCAUAAUUCAUCUCAAGCUUAUUUUCUUCUAUGCUGUUUCCCUUUCCCACUUUUUAAUUUCACCCUUAUUUUAAUCUCUCAUUUUCCUGUUGUUUCAUAGUGAAACCACUUUGCAAAAUUAUAACUGAGGAAACUAUGACAGUGAAAGACAUCAGACCUAACUGAUUCCAUCUUGCUUCUAACGUUUAAGCUGUCCUUGUUCUUUCCUGGGCAUAGGCCAAACUAACUUUGGGAAGGAAUUCAGUUCAUGGUUUGACUCUGAAACAAAUUGGAACCAGCCCUUUCCUGAAAAACCCCGUUUCUUCCUUGGAGACCAGUCUGCCUUUGCAGGACUAACAACUUAGCUACAACAUUAGAAAUCACAGUUUAGGGGUCAUGCAGUCUCUGGUUCCAAGAGUUUGAACCUCCCGAAAUUGCUCCUGGGGAUAAUAUCGGUAUUGUGAAACCUAAGAUCAGUGCUUAAGACCCUGCACUGGAUGGAUCAGCUGACACCACCCAGAGUGGUAAUCUGGCUCAACCAGUUCUGCCAUCCCUCCCAAGAACAGAAAACAGCAAAAAACAAACAAACAAACAAACAAACAAAAAAAACUCACUUCGACUCCCACUGCCCCCCAUGAUUCCAUCUCCAACCUGACCAAUCAGCACUCCCCACUUCCCAAGCCCCUACCUGCCAAAUUAUCUUUAAAAACACUUAUCAUCAAAUGGCUCAGGGAGAAUGAUUUGAGUAAUAAUAAAACUCUGGUCUCCCGCACAGCUGGCUCUUCCUGAUUUACUCUUUCUCCAUUGCAAUUCCCCUGUCUUGAUAAAUCGGCUCUGUCUAGGCUGCGGGCAAGGUGAACCCAUUGG
This 3862-nucleotide long non-coding RNA is filed under the name Homo sapiens (human). Its description in RNAcentral is "HSALNT0011201". The record is from RNAcentral. Lineage: Eukaryota; Metazoa; Chordata; Mammalia; Primates; Hominidae.